GAUCAUGGCUCAGGAUGAACGCUAGCUACAGGCUUAACACAUGCAAGUCGAGGGGCAGCAAUGUUUGGUUGUCUUGCAACCAACGAUGGCGACCGGCGCACGGGUGAGUAACGCGUAUCCAACCUUCCGCAUACUCGGGAAUAGCCUUUCGAAAGAAAGAUUAAUGCCCGAUGGUUUCCCGAAUUCCGCAUGAGAAGCGGGAAUAAAGAUUCAUCGGUGUGCGAUGGGGAUGCGU
This 235-nucleotide ribosomal RNA is filed under the name uncultured bacterium. Its description in RNAcentral is "partial 16S ribosomal RNA". It matches the Rfam family "Bacterial small subunit ribosomal RNA", at positions 15 to 236 of the family's 1533-position model. The record is from RNAcentral.